RNAcentral lists this ribosomal RNA (469 nucleotides) under Comamonadaceae bacterium. Its description in RNAcentral is "bacterial SSU rRNA". It matches the Rfam family "Bacterial small subunit ribosomal RNA", at positions 391 to 853 of the family's 1533-position model. The record is from RNAcentral. Lineage: Bacteria; Pseudomonadati; Pseudomonadota; Betaproteobacteria; Burkholderiales; Comamonadaceae.
GCAAUGCCGCGUGCAGGAUGAAGGCCUUCGGGUUGUAAACUGCUUUUGUACGGAACGAAACGGUGAGCUCUAAUACAGUUUGCUAAUGACGGUACCGUAAGAAUAAGCACCGGCUAACUACGUGCCAGCAGCCGCGGUAAUACGUAGGGUGCGAGCGUUAAUCGGAAUUACUGGGCGUAAAGCGUGCGCAGGCGGUGAUGUAAGACAGAUGUGAAAUCCCCGGGCUCAACCUGGGACCUGCAUUUGUGACUGCAUCGCUAGAGUACGGUAGAGGGGGAUGGAAUUCCGCGUGUAGCAGUGAAAUGCGUAGAUAUGCGGAGGAACACCGAUGGCGAAGGCAAUCCCCUGGACCUGUACUGACGCUCAUGCACGAAAGCGUGGGGAGCAAACAGGAUUAGAUACCCUGGUAGUCCACGCCCUAAACGAUGUCAACUGGUUGUUGGGUCUUCACUGACUCAGUAACGAAGCU